RNAcentral lists this ribosomal RNA (305 nucleotides) under uncultured bacterium. RNAcentral's name for it is "bacterial SSU rRNA". It matches the Rfam family "Bacterial small subunit ribosomal RNA", at positions 333 to 630 of the family's 1533-position model. The record is from RNAcentral.
UACCGCCUACGGGGGGCAGCAGUAGGGAAUCUUCCACAAUGGGCGAAAGCCUGAUGGAGCAACGCCGCGUGGGUGAAGAAGGUCUUCGGAUCGUAAAACCCUGUUGUUAGAGAAGAAAGUGCGUGAGAGUAACUGUUCACAUUUCGACGGUAUCUAACCAGAAAGACACGGCUAACUACGUGCCAGCAGCCGCGGUAAUACGUAGGUGGCAAGCGUUAUCCGGAUUUAUUGGGCGUAAAGGGAACGCAGGCGGUCUUUUAAGUCUGAUGGGAAAGCCUUCGGCUUCACAGGAGUAGAGGAUUGAG